This 76-nucleotide transfer RNA is filed under the name Flavonifractor plautii. Its description in RNAcentral is "tRNA-Ala". It matches the Rfam family "tRNA". Rfam says of the family: Transfer RNA (tRNA) molecules are approximately 80 nucleotides in length. Their secondary structure includes four short double-helical elements and three loops (D, anti-codon, and T loops). The record is from RNAcentral. RNAcentral also lists the same sequence under 9 other names. Lineage: Bacteria; Bacillati; Bacillota; Clostridia; Eubacteriales; Oscillospiraceae.
GGGCCCAUAGCUCAGCUGGGAGAGCGUACGGUUCGCAUCCGUAAGGUCGUCGGUUCGAUCCCGAUUGGGUCCACCA